RNAcentral lists this ribosomal RNA (555 nucleotides) under Colletotrichum cordylinicola. RNAcentral describes it as "eukaryotic LSU rRNA". It matches the Rfam family "Eukaryotic large subunit ribosomal RNA", at positions 87 to 665 of the family's 3401-position model. The record is from RNAcentral. Lineage: Eukaryota; Fungi; Ascomycota; Sordariomycetes; Glomerellales; Glomerellaceae.
CGGCGAGUGAAGCGGCAACAGCUCAAAUUUGAAAUCUGGCCCUAGGCCCGAGUUGUAAUUUGCAGAGGAUGCUUUUGGUGAGGUGCCUUCCAAGUUCCCUAGAACGGGACGCCAGAGAGGGUGAGAGCCCCGUACAGUUGGACACCAAGCCUUUGUAAAGCUCCUUCGACGAGUCGAGUAGUUUGGGAAUGCUGCUCAAAAUGGGAGGUAUAUUUCUUCUAAAGCUAAAUACCGGCCAGAGACCGAUAGCGCACAAGUAGAGUGAUCGAAAGAUGAAAAGCACUUUGAAAAGAGGGUUAAACAGCACGUGAAAUUGUUAAAAGGGAAGCGCUUGUGACCAGACUUGCGUCCGGUGAAUCACCCAGCUCUCGCGGCUGGGGCACUUCGCCGGCUCAGGCCAGCAUCAGCUCGCUGUCGGGGACAAAAGCUUCAGGAACGUAGCUCUCUUCGGGGAGUGUUAUAGCCUGUUGCAUAAUACCCUUCGGCGGGCUGAGGUACGCGCUCCGCAAGGAUGCUGGCAUAAUGGUCAUCAGCGACCCGUCUGAAAAACACGGA